RNAcentral lists this long non-coding RNA (768 nucleotides) under Physcomitrium patens. Its description in RNAcentral is "long non-coding RNA (PPAT_LNC006304)". The record is from RNAcentral. Lineage: Eukaryota; Viridiplantae; Streptophyta; Bryopsida; Funariales; Funariaceae.
AACUUAGUUAUUAAAAGUGGUUAAUUACAAGAUUAUGGUUAGAAUCUGGGAAUAGGGAGUAAGUAUAUAGGAGUUGUAGAAGUUAAUCUGAGUGCUAGACUAUGAUAGUCAUGAGUCGGGGUUAAGCUUGGUACUACCUCUUUAUUUUUCUUUAUUGUUGAACAGUAAUGGAUAGUUUUUGAAUACUGAGAAGUGAGUUUGUGGAAUAAAUCAGAGAUUGAUUUAUGAAUAAUUGAUUAUGUAAUUGAAAUACUGAGUGAUUGAAUUAUAUGAAGACUUAUUGAAAGAUUAUGAUUGUUGUUUAUUGAGAGCUGUGUAUGUUUUGACAAAGAAAGUUGGUGAUUAUAAAAAUUAUGUGAAUUUAGAUUGGUUAGAGUGGAGUCUGUUAAUUCUGGCAUUGGAUGGAAAUUAUGUAUUUUGAGCAGUCUUUUGAGAGUACAGAGUUACACACUGUUAUUAUCAGUUGAUGAAGGAGUAUUGUUAGUAGGAGAAAGUAUUGUAAUAUUUUUUGGUGUUUUAGUGGUUCGAAAUAUAGUUAAUUAUGUGACCCUAAUAAGUAAAACUCAUGCACUUAGUCUUUCCUUGUGUUUGAAUUUCCUUAUACAUGUUUAUUCUGAAAAGAAUUGAAGAAUAAAUAAAACAACAAUCAAAUUUUUGCACUGCUGCUAGAGAUAGACAAUAACAUUGAGUGUUAGGAAUUAAUUGCCGGUUUAGUUAGAUAGAAGAUAGGAAGUAAAUUUAGUAGAAUAUAAUGAAAGCGUAUAGUUA